This 178-nucleotide small RNA is filed under the name Arabidopsis thaliana (thale cress). RNAcentral describes it as "ATSL041800". The record is from RNAcentral. Lineage: Eukaryota; Viridiplantae; Streptophyta; Magnoliopsida; Brassicales; Brassicaceae.
GUGGUUAUACUGUUCAUUUGCUUGUGUGUAUAGCUCGUAGAUGGGAGGAUCGCCUCAUUAAGUAUUUGUCAUAAUACUUACGCAUCUCUUUCUUUUAUGUGCAGGUAAAGAUAAAGUGUGAUCGUGAAGUCAUGGCAAUAAAGAGAGGAUGAUAUAGGAACUCGUUUGGUUUAUUGUU